UACGGAGGAUGCAAGCGUUAUCCGGAUUUAUUGGGUUUAAAGGGUGCGUAGGCGGCCUUGUAAGUCAGUGGUGAAAACCUGCAGCUCAACUGUAGGCGUGCCAAUGAAACUGUGAGGCUUGAGUGACGUUGAGGCAGGCGGAAUGUGUAGUGUAGCGGUGAAAUGCUUAGAUAUUACACAGAACACCGAUUGCGUAGGCAGCUUGCUAAAGGUUAACUGACGCUGAUGCACGAAAGCGUGGGGAUCGAACAGG
Molecule: ribosomal RNA, 253 nt
Filed under: uncultured bacterium
Lineage: Bacteria
Description: partial 16S ribosomal RNA
Rfam family: Bacterial small subunit ribosomal RNA
Source: RNAcentral